Long non-coding RNA from Papaver somniferum (opium poppy), 461 nucleotides. RefSeq lists it as uncharacterized. NCBI's taxonomy places the organism in Eukaryota, Viridiplantae, Streptophyta, Magnoliopsida, Ranunculales, Papaveraceae. The transcript has 3 exons. The record is from RefSeq and is a predicted model, not a curated record.
CUUCUUCAUCGUCUUUUUUUCAUCAAAAAAAAAAUAACUAAAAGAUCUUCUUAUGCCCAUAAUAUUUCAAUUUCUCUAAUGUGUAAUAUAUUUCUACCAAAGAAGAUCUUUUUAUCAUCCACUGCAUAUUGAAAAGACGACCUCGAAUAUGGGCAAAUGGAAGUUGAUUCUACGAACCAAAUACCAAAAAAUAGACAUUUUUUGUAUUCAACUGCACAAAUUAUUUUAAGGUUCAUCGAAACUUUUUCGGAAAUGAAAUACCACUUAAAGCAAGGGAGAAGGGACACAGGUUGGUUUUCUAUGUCGAGGUAAAUACCAGUAUUUGAUUCGUACACUGAGGUUUGGUAAAAAUCUUUUCGUUACGUAUUCCGGGUGAAUUUAGCAUUGCUAGAGUCGGUUGUAGCAAUGCUCACGAAGUAUAAUAUAGGAUAUCGUUAUUAUUAACAUGUUAUUUAGGGGGU